UACGUAGGGUGCAGGCGUUAAUCGGAAUUACUGGGCGUAAAGCGCACGUAGGUGGUUUUAUAAGUCGGAUGUGAAAGCCCCGGGCUUAACCUGGGAAUUGCAUCUGAUACUGUCUGACUAGAGUAUGCUAGAGGGAAGUGGAAUUCCAGGUGUAGCGGUGAAAUGCGUAGAUAUCUGGAGGAACACCAAUGGCGAAGGCAACUUCCUGGGGCAAUACUGACACUGAUGUGCGAAAGCGUGGGGAGCAAACAGG
RNAcentral lists this ribosomal RNA (253 nucleotides) under uncultured bacterium. RNAcentral's name for it is "partial 16S ribosomal RNA". It matches the Rfam family "Bacterial small subunit ribosomal RNA", at positions 524 to 776 of the family's 1533-position model. The record is from RNAcentral.